Molecule: transfer RNA, 108 nt
Filed under: Candidatus Woesearchaeota archaeon
Lineage: Archaea; Nanobdellati; Candidatus Woesearchaeota
Description: tRNA-Ile
Rfam family: tRNA
About the family: Transfer RNA (tRNA) molecules are approximately 80 nucleotides in length. Their secondary structure includes four short double-helical elements and three loops (D, anti-codon, and T loops).
Source: RNAcentral
GGGCCUGUAGCUUAGCCUGGUAUGAUGAAACAACCAAAAAUGGUUGUUUUAUACUAAAGCGCUGGUCUUAUAAGCCAGUGGUCGGGGGUUCAAAUCCCCCCAGGCCCA